GCAUGGGUGAUGCUUUCCAUGCAGUCGAGCGGCAGCGCGGGGGCAACCCUGGCGGCGAGCGGCGAACGGGUGAGUAAUGCAUCGGAACGUACCCAUUUGUGGGGGAUAACUAUCCGAAAGGAUAGCUAAUACCGCAUAAGUCCUGAGGGAGAAAGCGGGGGAUCGCAAGACCUCGCGCGAAUGGAGCGGCCGAUGCCGGAUUAGCUAGUUGGUAGGGUAAAGGCCUACCAAGGCGACGAUCCGUAGCUGGUCUGAGAGGAUGAUCAGCCACACUGGAACUGAGACACGGUCCAGACUCCUACGGGAGGCAGCAGUGGGGAAUUUUGGACAAUGGGCGCAAGCCUGAUCCAGCCAUUCCGCGUGAGUGAAGAAGGCCUUCGGGUUGUAAAGCUCUUUCGGCAGGAACGAAACGGUGGGGGUUAAUACCCCCUGCUAAUGACGGUACCUGAAGAAGAAGCACCGGCUAACUACGUGCCAGCAGCCGCGGUAAUACGUAGGGUGCGAGCGUUAAUCGGAAUUACUGGGCGUAAAGCGUGCGCAGGCGGUUCUAUAAGACAGAUGUGAAAUCCCCGGGCUUAACCUGGGAACUGCGUUUGUGACUGUAGGACUCGAGUGUGGCAGAGGGGGGUGGAAUUCCACGUGUAGCAGUGAAAUGCGUAGAGAUGUGGAGGAACACCGAUGGCGAAGGCAGCCCCCUGGGUCAACACUGACGCUCAUGCACGAAAGCGUGGGUAGCAAACAGGAUUAGAUACCCUGGUAGUCCACGCCCUAAACGAUGCGAACUAGGUGUUGGGGAAGGAGACUUUCUUAGUACCGCAGCUAACGCGUGAAGUUCGCCGCCUGGGGAGUACGGUCGCAAGAUUAAAACUCAAAGGAAUUGACGG
Molecule: ribosomal RNA, 884 nt
Filed under: uncultured beta proteobacterium
Lineage: Bacteria; Pseudomonadati; Pseudomonadota; Betaproteobacteria
Description: bacterial SSU rRNA
Rfam family: Bacterial small subunit ribosomal RNA
Source: RNAcentral